AACGAACGCUGGCGGCAGGCUUAACACAUGCAAGUCGAACGCAUCCUUCGGGGUGAGUGGCAGACGGGUGAGUAACGCGUGGGAACGUGCCCUUCAGUUCGGGAUAACCCAGGGAAACUUGGGCUAAUACCGGAUACGCGCGAGAGCAGAAAGACUUAUCGCUGAAGGAUCGGCCCGCGUCUGAUUAGCUAGUUGGUGGGGUAAUGGCCCACCAAGGCGACGAUCAGUAGCUGGUCUGAGAGGAUGAUCAGCCACAUUGGGACUGAGACACGGCCCAAACUCCUACGGGGGGCAGCAGUGGGGAAUAUUGGACAAUGGGCGCAAGCCUGAUCCAGCCAUGCCGCGUGAGUGAUGAAGGCCUUAGGGUUGUAAAGCUCUUUCGUCCGGGACGAUAAUGACGGUACCGGAAGAAGAAGCCCCGGCUAACUUCGUGCCAGCCGCCGCGGUAA
RNAcentral lists this ribosomal RNA (449 nucleotides) under uncultured bacterium. RNAcentral describes it as "partial 16S ribosomal RNA". It matches the Rfam family "Bacterial small subunit ribosomal RNA", at positions 29 to 523 of the family's 1533-position model. The record is from RNAcentral.